GGUGCUUGCACCCCGCUGACGAGCGGCGGACGGGUGAGUAAUGCAUAGGAAACUGCCCAGUAGUGGGGGAUAGCCCGGGGAAACCCGGAUUAAUACCGCGUACGCCCUUCGGGGGAAAGCAGGGGAUCUUCGGACCUUGCGCUAUUGGAUGUGCCUAUGUCGGAUUAGCUAGUUGGUGGGGUAAAGGCCUACCAAGGCGACGAUCCGUAGCUGGUCUGAGAGGAUGAUCAGCCACAUCGGGACUGAGACACGGCCCGAACUCCUACGGGAGGCAGCAGUGGGGAAUAUUGGACAAUGGGGGCAACCCUGAUCCAGCCAUGCCGCGUGUGUGAAGAAGGCUUUCGGGUUGUAAAGCACUUUCAGUGAGGAGGAAAAGUUGGUCGUUAAUACCGGCCAGCCUUGACGUUACUCACAGAAGAAGCACCGGCUAACUCCGUGCCAGCAGCCGCGGUAAUACGGAGGGUGCAAGCGUUAAUCGGAAUUACUGGGCGUAAAGCGCGCGUAGGUGGUUUGAUAAGCGAGAUGUGAAAGCCCCGGG
RNAcentral lists this ribosomal RNA (538 nucleotides) under marine sediment bacterium BB0608_2216_4.2_3S0. Its description in RNAcentral is "bacterial SSU rRNA". It matches the Rfam family "Bacterial small subunit ribosomal RNA", at positions 75 to 607 of the family's 1533-position model. The record is from RNAcentral.